This 465-nucleotide ribosomal RNA is filed under the name uncultured bacterium. RNAcentral describes it as "bacterial SSU rRNA". It matches the Rfam family "Bacterial small subunit ribosomal RNA", at positions 338 to 795 of the family's 1533-position model. The record is from RNAcentral.
CCUACGGGGGGCAGCAGUAGGGAAUCUUCCGCAAUGGGCGAAAGCCUGACGGAGCAACGCCGCGUGAGUGAUGAAGGUCUUCGGAUCGUAAAACUCUGUUAUUAGGGAAGAACAAAUGUGUAAGUAACUAUGCACGUCUUGACGGUACCUAAUCAGAAAGCCACGGCUAACUACGUGCCAGCAGCCGCGGUAAUACGUAGGUGGCAAGCGUUAUCCGGAAUUAUUGGGCGUAAAGCGCGCGUAGGCGGUUUUUUAAGUCUGAUGUGAAAGCCCACGGCUCAACCGUGGAGGGUCAUUGGAAACUGGAAAACUUGAGUGCAGAAGAGGAAAGUGGAAUUCCAUGUGUAGCGGUGAAAUGCGCAGAGAUAUGGAGGAACACCAGUGGCGAAGGCGACUUUCUGGUCUGUAACUGACGCUGAUGUGCGAAAGCGUGGGGAUCAAACAGGAUUAGAUACCCAAGUAGUC